Molecule: long non-coding RNA, 260 nt
Organism: Drosophila sulfurigaster albostrigata
Lineage: Eukaryota; Metazoa; Arthropoda; Insecta; Diptera; Drosophilidae
Exons: 2
Source: RefSeq, a predicted model, not a curated record
AUUUAGAAAUAUGAUGAGAGUGCUUUCGUCAUUUUAUAAAAUGUAUGAGCUACGAAUCGUUCGAAAAACUUGAUAUCAACUUACAUCACUUGGCGACCCUCUCAAAAUGAAGCGCAUCAACAGAUGCUCUGUAUGGUUAACAAUAAAACAAAAAUAAGCUGGCAAUUUGUUAAAGUUGAAGGUUUGGCGUUGUGGGCUUGUCAACGGAUCAUGCUCUUGUUCUUUCUGCUUGAUUAAACUUGAAAUUUAUUGUAUUGCAA